GUGAACGCUGGCGGCGUGGAUAAGACAUGCAAGUCGAUCGUGAGCCUGCCGCAAGGCAGGUCGAACGAGGCAAACGAGGUAGUAACACGUAGGUACAUCCCCCGGAGUCGGGCAUAUACCGCCGAAAGGCGGAGCAAUUCCCGAUGGUCUCUAUGGAGUAAAGAUUUAUCGCUCCGGGAGUGGCCUGCGUAAUAUCAGCUAGUUGGUAGGGUAACGGCCUACCAAGGCUAUGACGUUUAGGAGGGCUGAGAGGCUGACCCCCACCGAUCGCACUGAGACACGGGCGAUACCUCUACGGAGGGCUGCAGUCGAGAAUAUUCCGCAAUGGACGAAAGUCUGACGGAGCGACGCCGCGUGCAGGAUGAAGUCCUUCGGGACGUAAACUGCUUUUGUCGGUGAUGACUAUUCGACAGUACCCGAAGAAUAAGGGGCUCCUAACUCUGU
This 444-nucleotide ribosomal RNA is filed under the name uncultured bacterium. Its description in RNAcentral is "bacterial SSU rRNA". It matches the Rfam family "Bacterial small subunit ribosomal RNA", at positions 29 to 506 of the family's 1533-position model. The record is from RNAcentral.